Poeciliopsis prolifica (blackstripe livebearer) is the source of this 1244-nucleotide long non-coding RNA. RefSeq lists it as uncharacterized. NCBI's taxonomy places the organism in Eukaryota, Metazoa, Chordata, Actinopteri, Cyprinodontiformes, Poeciliidae. The record is from RefSeq and is a predicted model, not a curated record. The transcript is spliced from 2 exons.
GGCUGCAGUCUCCGCUUUCAGUCAGAGGGUGCGCACCAUGUUCCAGCCGGAGAGGCUCAUGGUGCCGGGGAGGCGUGGUUUGCGAACGGAGCGUCAACGCUCAGUCACCGGGCUGCUGCUCUGCAGUUGACCCAAAGCUGACUGACAAGGACUACAGGAAGACUGGAGGAAGGCAUCAAGGAUCCAAAGUGACAUCAAACUUGGAUUACCCCAACUCAUACUGUUUCCCUGGUUCAUAGAGUACCAGACUUAACCUCAUGGAUGCUGUUCUUCCAUGAAACAAUAGAAUUUUGUUCUGUCAGCCAAAAAUGAGUCAAAUAUGUCUCCAUUUCUAUGCUUGUUUUAAUAAAUUGUAAUAUUAAUGCCAUGUUGCAAAUUCUAAGUUGUGUACACAACUUUUUGGAAAUAUGUUAAUGUCAGAAAAUUUUGAACUACAUAAUGCCCAUCGUCUGCCAACACAAUUGUGUGUUUAACACCAGUAAGGAAACUUUUAAUGGUAUGUUAUGAUAUAGACCAGAAAUGCCCAAAGUUGGUCCUCGAGGGCCAGCAUCCUGCAUGUUUCAGUUCUCUCCCUGUUGGCAAUAACAACCUUUUCAGCAUGUCAAUGUUCCUCUUAGACCUUCUAAUGAGCCAUUAUUUGAUCCAGGUGGCAAAUGAUGAAACAGAGAUAGAACUAAAACAUGCAGGACGCAUGUUUUUUGGACACCACUGAUGUAGAGCUAUCAGACCAAAAAUGGACAUGAAUCAGUAUCGAUCCUUCAACUUUGAUUCAAUACAAAAUCAACACAAAUGUGCAUGCAGAUCCACUUUCAGAUGAUGGCUGACUCAACAUUGAUAUUGUGUCAGUUAUGGUUGAAACCCUAAUGUUGAUUCAACAUGCAAGUCACCGACCACUUUCAAAAUCAUUUCAGUGUCAGGCUUCAACGUGGAUUCAGUGUUUCUGUCUAACUAUAUUUUAACAUUGAUUCACUCAUACUUUUCUGUCUGUCCAUCUAGUGCAGAACUAGCUUCAGAUUCCUUAUCAUGGAGGUAAUUCUGAUUUUCAACUAUUAUUUAUUGCUUUUUGUGGUUAGUUUUCUAUCUCUAUACCAAUUACAACAUAAACCGUUAGAAGACAAGAUGAUUAUGUGUGAGAGAAUUUAAGCUGGAGCUGAAUUGGAAACGGGUUUCUGCCCUUUAACACAGUGACAGUGGAGUGAUUUAAAGAGCAGUUGUGAAAUAAAAUAAAGCUCCUUAAAACAUGU